AGAUAUUUGUACCUUCUGUGUUGCUUCUAUUUAAGUAAUCUUGAAAUGACUGUUGGGAUCAAGGCUCUGCCUGGACAUGCAGCAUUGCUGGAAACUACUGCUCCCCAAGGUGAAGAUACUGAUCCUGCUUAUGGAGAUUAGCUGACAACAAUUUAAAGUCUUGAGAGAGUGAGGAAUAUGCAGGAAUAUCAUAAACACUCAAAAUGAAACCACAGAAAAAAGGGAAGCUUUAAAGGAUGUAGUUUUACUAAAAGAUUGGAAUAAAUGCUCAACACAACUAACAUACAUGUCCAGUUUGGCCUUGAGCCAGCACAGAGCAACACCAGUUGGUUUUGUCUAAAGGCAAAUCUUUGUAAAAUAAAAUAAAAUACAACA
Molecule: long non-coding RNA, 375 nt
Organism: Oenanthe melanoleuca
Lineage: Eukaryota; Metazoa; Chordata; Aves; Passeriformes; Muscicapidae
Exons: 2
Source: RefSeq, a predicted model, not a curated record